AUUGAACGCUGGCGGCAGGCCUAACACAUGCAAGUCGAACGGUAACAGGAAGCAGCUUGCUGCUUCGCUGACGAGUGGCGGGCGGGUGAGUAAUGUCUGGGAAGCUGCCUGAUGGAGGGGGAUAACUACUGGAAACGGUAGCUAAUACCGCAUAAUGUCGCAAGACCAAAGAGGGGGACCUUCUGGCCUCUUGCCAUCGUAUGUGCCCAGAUGGGAUUAGCUUGUUGGUGGGGUAACGGCUCACCAAGGCGACGAUCCCUAGCUGGUCUGAGAGGAUGAUCAGCCACACUGGGACUGAGACACGGUCCAGACUCCUACGGGAGGCAGCAGUGGGGAAUAUUGGACAAUGGGCGCAAGCCUGAUGCAGCCAUGCCGCGUGUAUGAAGAAGGCCUUCGGGUUGUAAAGUACUUUCAGCGGGGAGGAAGGGAGUAAAGUUAAUACCUUGGCUCAUUGACGUUACCCGCAGAAGAAGCACCGGCUAACUCCGUG
This 490-nucleotide ribosomal RNA is filed under the name uncultured bacterium. RNAcentral describes it as "partial 16S ribosomal RNA". It matches the Rfam family "Bacterial small subunit ribosomal RNA", at positions 30 to 507 of the family's 1533-position model. The record is from RNAcentral.